Molecule: ribosomal RNA, 484 nt
Filed under: uncultured bacterium
Lineage: Bacteria
Description: partial 16S ribosomal RNA
Rfam family: Bacterial small subunit ribosomal RNA
Source: RNAcentral
AUUGAACGCUGGCGGCAGGCCUAACACAUGCAAGUCGAGCGGAUGAAGGGAGCUUGCUCCUGGAUUCAGCGGCGGACGGGUGAGUAAUGCCUAGGAAUCUGCCUGGUAGUGGGGGAUAACGUCCGGAAACGGGCGCUAAUACCGCAUACGUCCUGAGGGAGAAAGUGGGGGAUCUUCGGACCGCACGCUAUCAGAUGAGCCUAGGUCGGAUUAGGUAGUUGGUGGGGUAAAGGCCUACCAAGGCAACGAUCUGUAGCUGGUCUGAGAGGAUGAUCAGCCACACUGGGACUGAGACACGGCCCAGACUCCUACGGGAGGCAGCAGUGGGGAAUUUUGGACAAUGGGCGAAAGCCUGAUCCAGCAAUGCCGCGUGCAGGAAGAAGGCCUUCGGGUUGUAAACUGCUUUUGUACGGAACGAAACGGAUCUGGUUAAUACCCGGGGUUAAUGACGGUACCGUAAGAAUAAGCACCGGCUAACUACGUG